RNAcentral lists this ribosomal RNA (446 nucleotides) under uncultured bacterium. RNAcentral describes it as "bacterial SSU rRNA". It matches the Rfam family "Bacterial small subunit ribosomal RNA", at positions 28 to 455 of the family's 1533-position model. The record is from RNAcentral.
GAUGAACGCUGGCGGCGUGCAUAACACAUUCAAGUCGAACGGAGUUAUUGAUUUGGAUCCCUUCGGGGUGAAGAAGCUUUAACUUAGUGGCGGACGGGUGAGUAACGCGUGAGCAACCUGCCUUUGUGAGGGGGAUAACGUCGGGAAACUGACGCUAAUACCGCAUGAUGUAUGAGGAACGCAUGUUUUUCAUACCAAAGAUUUAUCGCACAAAGAUGGGCUCGCGUCUGAUUAGGUAGUUGGUAAGGUAACGGCUUACCAAGCCUACGAUCAGUAGCCGGACUGAGAGGUUGAACGGCCACAUUGGAACUGAGAUACGGUCCAGACUCCUACGGGAGGCAGCAGUGGGGAAUAUUGGGCAAUGGGCGCAAGCCUGACCCAGCGACGCCGCGUGAGGGAAGAAGGUCUUCGGAUUGUAAACCUUUGUUGACAGGGACGAUAAUGAC